Molecule: small nuclear RNA, 104 nt
Organism: Otolemur garnettii (small-eared galago)
Lineage: Eukaryota; Metazoa; Chordata; Mammalia; Primates; Galagidae
Source: Ensembl
GUGCUCACUUCGGCAGCACACAUACUAAAAUUGGAAUGAUCCAGAGAUUAGCACGGCCCCUGCACAAGGAUGACACGCAAAUUCGUGAUGCGUUCCAUAUUUAG